CUUGAAUGGUUUUUACCACAGUUCAUGUUUACUUUACUGUGUUUCAGCUCAUUUCCACCAUGUUAUAGAACAACGGCGCCUCGGCAAGGACAGCACGAGUGUUAUCCUUGUGGUGGCAGGGAUGCAGUUCUUGUGAUACGGAGUUCAGGGUGGCUCAGGUGCAGGAAAUGAACAGACGGUCUGUGAAUGCAACACUGAUUUAUUUACAAAGGUUUUUAGGACUACAAGCGGAAACUAGGACUUCAACAGGAAACGGAACAAAAGGCUCUGGAUCUUACAGCGGCACCUAGGGGCCGGGAGGUACUGUAACAAGACUAAAUAAUCACUAACUCGCGGUAGGGAACACCAAGGCGAGAAAGGCCAAUCUCAGGAAUACAAAACAAGACACGAGGCUAUCUUUACGAGAAUAGCGAGAGAAUGGAUGAAGCUUGAUUGGUUGCAUUCCACCUGUUCCUGAGCUGGCUGAUUGUGGCAGAUGGAGAACACCUGUCGCUCCUCCUGCCCUGCUGGACUGCCCUAAAAGGAAAGAAGAUGAGAGGGAGGGGGAGAUCACUACCUAGGCCUGGCAGCAGCCAGCCUGACAUCUUGUACACAACUCUGUUUGGUGCCUUCACUGCCUUCAUAUUCAUGAGAACUGGUCAUGUGGGUCCAGUUUUGUGCCAUUCCUUCUGUAACAGCCAGGGUUUGCCUGACGUCACCUCUGCCCUGCAACACCCUCAACGCCCACCUCUGCUCUUCUCGUAUCUGAUGGGAAUCCUGCUAUUUCUGGUGCUGCUAUUCCCUCUGACAGAUCCUUUCUUCUAUGGUGCCAUUCCCGUUUGCAGCCUGGCUCCCCCUCCCACGUCUGUAUGUUAAAUUAAAUGAAAUUACAUACUGUCCA
Long non-coding RNA from Amphiprion ocellaris (clown anemonefish), 880 nucleotides. RefSeq lists it as uncharacterized. NCBI's taxonomy places the organism in Eukaryota, Metazoa, Chordata, Actinopteri, Pomacentridae. The record is from RefSeq and is a predicted model, not a curated record. The transcript has 4 exons.